Molecule: non-coding RNA, 5924 nt
Organism: Nothobranchius furzeri (turquoise killifish)
Lineage: Eukaryota; Metazoa; Chordata; Actinopteri; Cyprinodontiformes; Nothobranchiidae
Source: RefSeq, a predicted model, not a curated record
UAAAUAUGUCUGCUAGAUUUCUAAAUAUGUAAUUUAAUUCUAUUCGAUGUCAUUUCUGUGUUAGUGUUUAUUUAUAAUUAACACAUAAAAAUUAGGAAAUUAGCAAAGACUAAUGUCAGACUAGCUACUCAAAUCACUUCAGUUUAGAUUUUAAAAUGUUAAUUGAACAGUAGUUGGUAAGAUAAAAGUGAUAAAAUCUCUGAAUAAAGUCACUUAAUAUAAUGAGUCUUCUUCCCUCUUUUUCUCAAUUGCAAAUUUAGCAUUUUUAUUUAAUCUAAACUAGGUCUUUAAAUCACAGAAAAAAUUUUCAGCACGAUACCCAUACUUUGGCAAUUUGGAUUAAAGAUGUCAGAUAAUACUGUUGUACAGUGCCAUGUGUCAGAACUCAAGUCCCCAUACCAGCCUCUCCCAGCUAGCCGGCCUCCACCAUGGACCACAACUGCCAGCAUGCCCCUCGCAGGAAUUCCCUCCACGUCGCACCUACGUCACGAACCGCGACUAUAUAUGGAAGUCGCCUCCCCAGCUCACCACUCAGUCAUCGUUUCUUCGGAUCUAUGAUCAGAGUUUCCAAACAACCGUUCCAUCGUACGAACUCUCAGCUCACAGUAAGUGUUCUUACUUACUUCUGGAAAACCCAGCAUGUCCGUGUCACUUCAUUGAUGCUCGAACGCUCGGGGAUUCCAAGAUUAAACCGAGAGCCAGCGUUUCACCGACGCUAUCACUUCCUGUGAGACAACGCUCUCCACAAGCUCUACUCCCGUAUCCAGCCGACCAGUCUGACACCAUGAAAGAAACAGAAAUACAUAGGGUGUUUGAGUUUUCAUUUCAAAAGACAUUUAUUUAUUAAUUAUUCACUUUUUUUUUCAUUUAUUUUCAUAUUUUUCAUUCAUCAAAUAUGGGGCAAAAAAUUAAAAGAAGCAAAGAAAGGUAAAACAAUGGUGAGUAAAUAAAAUGGGAGAAAGAAAUUAAGGUACAAUAUAAGAAAGGGAAAUAACAGAGAAGAUAAUAAAUCUCCAAGCAAUAAGAGUUAAAAACAUAUGUUUGGUUAAAUCAAGAAAUUUCUAAAUGGUUUAACCAAAAAUAAAUGAAAAAAUGGACAAGAAAUGAUGGUCUUAAAUAUAAAAUAUAUCAGAUCGUUCCCUUCCCUUGCUUGAAAAAUUGUUCCAAAAUGAAAGUUGAACCCACAUCUUUUUUAUCCGUGAAUUCAAUGCCUUUCGGUGAGUCUCAAAUAAAAAUUUGGGCAUCAUAUAACUGUAAAAAAUAUAUCAUUAAUGUAAAAAUGAAACUCCAAAUAAACUAUUUUCACACCCGCAAUUGAACCCAGGUCUUCUGUAUGAGAGUCAGAGAUCUUACAAGGUGCGCUACAUGCCAGUAAUGUUCAAUGUAUCUGUAACAUUUAUAUCCUUGAUGACAGAUGAAACAACGUCAAUCCAAAGAACGGUUUGGAGCGAAAAUGGCUAUUUUGUUGCUAAUUUGCAGGAAAUAUCUAGAAGAAAGUGAUGGAUAUCACUGAUUUUGAUGUCACAGGGUUAUUGAUGUAACAGUGUAGGUGUUUGUUUAAACGGAGGGUCAUCACUUUUAUCACAUUUUAGAGUGGUGAAGAAAGACCUCUUUGAUCACCCUCCUGUUAUCUGUAACUUCCUGAGACAAGAUAAAGGUCCAACAAUCUGUUGAUUAGGUUACCCUGGUCAGCUGAUUCUGAAGAAUUGUGUAAACUUCUGGGUGUGCCUUCCUAAAUAAAAUGAGCUCUAAAGCUUUGCCUGAGUGUGCAAGCACACUGACCUCUGUCUCUGGUGUGUAUUUGAUUUCUCUCACCCUUUGCAACAUAUUUGUUGUUGUUUGUUGUUGGCAGGAUUACAAUUUACCAAAUUAUCAAUCUAAUCCCUCUGUGUGUGUUCUGAACUUUCUUUGAGGUUAUAUGGGAGUAACAUAAAAAUUACCCAACAUUAUUGGUGCUGAAACCCAGGAGAGCAGAGCCCUUCAGUGGGAGUUCGCCUUCGGAGAGCCGCACGGUGCCACUGCCUCAUCAAAGUCCGGGGGGCUGAGAAUUGCCCCAUCGGCCAGCUGUUUAGCUCCACAGAUGAACUUCCAUUAACAGGCUCUCGCGCUCGGACUCAGGGCGAGUCUGCCACUCAGGGGGAGAGUGAAUACCUAAAUUAAAUUGCACCCUUUUUAUUAUAACUGGUUGAGAGUGUGAUUUUACGCUGGUAGUGAUUUUUGCCAUCCAUGCACGAAAGAUGUUUCGGGCCCCGGCUGAGGGCUGGACUGAUAGCCGCCGGAUCUUGUCCUGGGCUCCCGCUUGCCUCUGAGGGAACAGAGUAAACGCGAGGGAGGUUGUAAGUAGUCUGUGUCCGCAUACACAAACACCCCACGACAAAUAGAGAAAGUGAAUUUGGGUCGUAAUAGGGUUGGAUGUGCAAAAUCACUAUGUAAGCUCACUGACGCUUGUUUUAUUUUAAUAUUACAUGGUGCAGCAAAGGUACCCAAAAGUUAAUCAUCGUUAUAAUUGGCUAAAGGAACCCAAACCGUUCUAAAUUCACCCCUUGUAGUUCAGUGGUCUGUGUAUUCGUGGGUUUUGUGGGCUGCGUCCCAUUUCGGAUUGUGCAGGCUUGCCUGAUCUCCGUGGUCCUGUGGUGUUGUUAUCGUUCGUUGCUGGUAUCUGAGAUAUUGAUGUCGGCUGUCCCAUCACAGACAUCGGACGUCUGUGCUGCAUUGUGGUUUUAAAUCUGUGCCAAAGUGUUAAAAACCUUAUUGUGAACUGUGCUUCGGUGGAUAUCUGUGUGUGUGUGAAGGUAUAUGUGUGUCUCUCUCUCUCUCUCUCUCUGUGUGUGUGUGUGUGUGUGUGUGUGUGUGUGUGUGUGUGUGUGUGUGUGUGUGUGUGUGUGUGUGUGUGAAAAGGGGCGUGUAUCUGGGUUUUUGAGUGUGUGUGAAUCCUGCAGGUUCUGUUCUAAGUGUGAUUGUGUAGCUAUCAGAAUGCCUCCUGGGUUUUGAAAGGAUAAUUUUCAAUUUUAUGCUUUACAGUGUUAUUAAUGCAUUUGUUUCACACAGUACAAAUGCACAAGUUGCUUAUAGAAUGCACAUUUAUGGCAGAAGCUGAAAUGCUUGUGUUUGACUUUUAUCAACAAAUGUUCUUUUUCAGGGUGUUAUCAGUAAAUUUUCUCUCUCAGAGAGCAUAGUUUAAAUUUAAAAACAGAUAACAAGAACUAGAAAUCUGUGUGAAAAGCAGAACUAAGAACAUCUGAUCGAUUAUAUAGCAAAAGGACUGUUCGGUUCUGAGAAGAAGAGAAGUGUCAUCUCGGUCCCAGUUAAACCUCUGGUGAGGAGGUGACACUACGGACUGAUUGGAGUGAAAUAAACAACCACCUCAGAAUGGAAAACUCAUAGUGUGAAACCGAAUAAUGGCUCUGUACCCGACCGUCCUGACGCUAAUGUGUAAGCACUAUUGGAUUAUGCAAAUGUGCUGCUCAUCUGAGCUCCUGUUUUAGUUUUGAGCCAACUGCAGGCUGUGCAGAAUGCUGCUGUUAAAUUUUUAACGAACACAUUGUCAUAUUGCACCAAUUUUGGCAUGUCUUCACUAGCUUCUCGUGACUUUCAGGGUGUGUCAAGAUUUUUAAAAUUAUUUGUCUAUAAGGCAUUGAAUGGCCUCACACGCCCUUACAUGUCAGAGCUUCUUAUGCCCUACGUUUCAGUGCAUUCUCCAACUAUAAAUCAAUGGGGGGAGUGGGCUUUUGUGUAUGUUGCAACUGACCUUUGGCAGACGUCAAUGGUAUCAGUCUUCAAGUCAAGACUGAAGACGCACUUUUAUUAUUUGACUUUUGGACACUUACAUUUCUUUAUGCUUUGGCCUGCUUGAUUGUUGGUGUGCCUUGCUUCUACUGCUUGAGUUUACCUUAUUUUAUUGAGCUGUUUUUAAUUUGUUUUUUUAUGCAAUUUCUGUAAGGUGCUUUGGUUGGCUCUCAUGCUGUGCUGCAAUGCACCGUUACAAGUGAACUGGAAGGCAACACAGCAACACAAUUCUACUGCUGACUCUGUUUGCUCUGGAACGUUGAUGUUGGCUUCUAUUAGCCGAGGUGUGCUCUGCUGUUUCCUGGACUCUAAACCAACAGCAGCCUUCCUUGUCACCAGCAAAGCUAGGUGUGUCCAUAAAUACUAAUUUGACAAUUUCUCGUGGACUUGUGACAGGCUUUUCCAAUCCAGUAAUUUCUCCGUUUUCUAUCAGUAGCUAAUGCAGGGCAUAAGAAGCUCUGACAUCGGUUGGGUAGAUUACAGGCUUGUCUUGAGGACAUUAAAAAUUGGAUGACUCUAAACUUUUUGCUUUUAAAUCAAGACAAGAUGGAAGUUCUCAUCUUUGGACCAGAAAUCCAGAAAAGGAAAUUGCUUAGCCAAUUGCCUGACCUGAAUGGCAUUACACUAAUCUCCGAGAACAAAGUAAGGAACCUUAGUGUUAUCUUUGACCAGGACAUGUCAUUUAAAUCCCAGGUUUCACAAGUUUGUAGGAUUUCCUUUUUCCACCUUCGGAAUAUUGCUAAGAUUAGAAGCAUACUUUCCAGGAGUGAUGCUGAAAAACUAGUCCAUGCAUUUAUUACAUCAAGACUGGAUUACUGUAAUUCAUUACUCUCACAGAAUGUAGUUAAAAGUCUUCAGCUUGUCCAAAAUACUGCAGCUAGAGUUCUGAUGAGAAUUAAAAAGAGAGAUCAUAUCUCUCAUGUCUUAGUUUCCCUACAUUGGCUACCUGUUAAAUUCAGAAUAGAUUUUAAGAUCCUUCUUCUCACAUAUAAAGCUCUUAAUAAUCAAGCUCCAUCAAACAUCGGUGAUCUGAUUGUUCCAUAUGUUCCUAACCGAGCACUUCGCUCUCAGACUGCAGGUCUACUGGUGGUUCCCAGAAUAUCUAAAAUUAGGAUGGGAGGCAGAUCUUUUAGUUAUCAGGCUCCUCUCCUGUGGAACCAGCUCCCAGGUGUAGUCCGUGAGGCAGACACUUUGUCUACUUUUAAGAAUAGGCUUAAAACAUUUUUAUUUGAUAGGGCCUAUGGUUAAAAUCUGAUGUUAGCCUCAAUCUGGACAAGUGGGGGAGUGGAGGCAGGUGGAGUGUACAGUCGGUAAAGACGGCUCCCCCUUGCCCUGCCUCCAACAUGCCUCCAUCUAAUUAGGACAGAUUAUCCAGUUAUCUCUGUAGUUAUGCUGCUAUAGGCUUAGACUGCUGGAGGAUACACUGACCACUUUUCACACUCUACUGCUUUCUUCUACAAUCUGCUCUUUAACUGUAUUAUUUUCUGCAAUUUCAGCUUGUUUCGGCCGCUGCCGUUUUGGAGCCAAAUGGUGUGCUGCACUCCAUUUCAUGACCAGCAGUUCAGCAGCGCAGCACUUUGGACAACAACUCCUUGGAAAGCUGUCCGUAACUUCAGGACCAUGGACAGCGCCAGAGCAGCAGUCACGCCAGCUAGGACUUUGCACCUCAUCAGCUAGCUCUUCAAUAGCGGCCACCUGGAGCUCAUUAGGGGAGAGAAAUGUUUGUGGGUUGCGGCAGCAAUGUGUGUUCUCUCCCCUUGGUGUUUGUCUUAUGGUUUUGUGGUUUAAACCAGCUUGUUGUUUGCUUCUUGUGAAGAAGUAACUUUAGGACUUUGUGUGUUUUGGGGAUAAAUUUGAGUUAACUGGUAAUUUUUGGGUUUGGUGAGUCUUCCAGACCAUCUUUGGUAAUUUACCGGGUGGGGUUUUCCCCUGUUGAAGUCUCUGUUUGCUGAGCCAUUUUUGGUAUUUGGACAACUUUAGUUAAGUAAAAGUAGUUUAUUUCAGGAUUUAUAGAGUGGUUGGUCCUCUGGACAUUUUCAGUUAAUUAAUUUUUUAAAUUUAAUUUCUUGGUAAGGGUUUUUUGGCCCCUUCUUUUGGUUUUUCUUUUCUUUUUAAUAAAACCGUUGAAAAGACAAGGA